GCGGGAGGGGACCGCGGCGGGACACCCGGGCCGGGAGCCCGCGGGCAGCCACCGCAGCCGCCGCUCAGGGCCGCCACCACGGGGUGCGGAAUGAGCCUCACCCGGAAAAGGGGUUUCUACAAGCAGGACAUCAACAAGACCGCCUGGGAGCUGCCCAAGACCUACCUGGAGCCGGCGCACGUCGGCAGCGGGGCCUACGGAGCUGUGUGUUCGGCCAUCGACAAGCGGACAGGGGAGAAGGUGGCCAUCAAGAAGCUGAGCCGGCCCUUCCAGUCGGAGAUCUUUGCCAAGCGCGCUUACCGCGAGCUCCUACUGCUGAAGCAUAUGCACCAUGAAAACGUCAUUGGGCUCCUGGAUGUCUUCACUCCCGCCUCUUCCCUUCGAAACUUCCACGAUUUCUACCUGGUGAUGCCCUUCAUGCAGACAGAUCUGCAGAAGAUCAUGGGGAUGGAGUUCAGUGAGGACAAAGUCCAGUACCUGGUAUACCAGAUGCUCAAAGGUCUGAAGUACAUCCACUCAGCUGGUGUCGUCCACAGGGACCUGAAGCCAGGCAACCUGGCAGUGAACGAAGACUGUGAGCUAAAGAUCCUGGACUUUGGGCUGGCGCGCCAUGCAGACCCUGAGAUGACCGGCUACGUGGUGACCCGCUGGUACCGGGCCCCUGAGGUGAUUCUCAGCUGGAUGCAUUACAACCAGACAGUGGAUAUCUGGUCCGUUGGCUGCAUCAUGGCGGAAAUGCUGACGGGAAAGACCCUAUUCAAGGGGAAGGACUACCUGGACCAGCUGACCCAGAUCCUCAAAGUCACCGGGGUGCCAGGAGCUGAGUUUGUGCAGAAGUUGAAGGACAAGGCGGCCAAAUCCUACAUCCAGUCCCUACCCCAGAGCCCCAAGAAGGAUUUCACCCAGCUCUUCCCACGGGCCAGCCCCCAAGCUGCGGACCUGCUGGACAAGAUGCUGGAACUGGAUGUGGACAAGCGUCUGACAGCUGCUCAGGCGCUUGCUCACCCCUUCUUUGAGCCCUUCCGGGACCCCGAGGAGGAGACGGAGGCCCAGCAGCCAUUUGACGAUGCCUUGGAACAUGAGAAGCUCACCGUGGAUGAAUGGAAACAUUAUAUCUAUGGAAGUCUCUCUUAGUGUCUGCAUUGUUGUCUAAGUUCUCUGGGACCCACAUCAAUUAUUCAUCAAAAAAAUGGGGGUUAUGGAGAGAUGGACCCAUGGCAUUGGCUGCUCUUCCAGAGAACCUGGGUUCAGUUCCCAGCACCCACAUGGCAGCGCACAGCUGUCUGCAACUCCAGUUCCAGAGGAUCUAAUGCCUUCUUCUGUUAGGCUUCUGGAAGUCCCAGACUUGCACGUGGUACACAGACACACAUACAGUGACUGACUCAGGAAUGAACACAUCAUCCAUUCUAGACAGAGAGAUGUUAAAGGAAUUCUUCUAGAAGCUUUUAGGUGAUGUCACCUGAACCUUAAAACUACUCCUACCCUGGGAGCUGAUGGAGACAUUCUUCCUCCUGUAGACAUUAUGAUAACUAAGUCAUUAUCGGUGACUUCGUUAGUCAUUUGUGACAAGGGAGGCAUCCCUGAGAGGAAGGCCACCCAGCAGAGAGGCUGGAAAGCCGUGUGAAGAACUACUUGGCUAACGCUAGAGAGGCGCCUCAGCAUUAAGAGGAUCCAGGCUCAACUCCCAGUACACAUGUGGUAGCUCACCUCUGCCUGCAACUCCAGUACCAGGGGAACCACUUACCCUCUUCUACACACAUGACCUGGGGAAACUCGGUCUGAGCCACUGGGCAAGGAAGCUGCCUCCCAGAGUGUAGUCAUUCCUGAAAACACAACAGGUCUGGGAACGAGUGACUCAUACCUCCUCCACUCCAGUCCAACGCUGGCCUCAGCGCCGGGACGGCACGCAGAAAGCCCUAGGGAGAAGAGCUGGGACAACACCUUGUGUGGCUGGGGCUGGGGCACUGGCAUUCAGGGAGCAUCGAGAGCUCUGAGUCACAAAGCAAUGAAGGCAGGACUGCAGCUGCCUCUGUAAUUAGAGUCGAUCGCCACGGAGACAAAGGGACGGAGAGGGACAUCACCUUUCAGGGGUGACCCUAAUGACUGUACUCACCAAUAAGUGCCUCUUGCCUCCAUGACCUGGGCUCCCCUGCUGGAGACCCAGGGGGUACUGCCUCUAGAAAAAGAUGGAGUAGUGUUUUCCCUGCUGGUCACUGUGAGUCUUCAAUUCUUUAUUAGAUUUUUGUUUUGUUUUGUUCUUUUGGUUUUGGUUUUUCGAGACAGGAUUUCUUUGUUUCUCUGUGUAGCUUUGUCUGUCCUGGAACUCGCUCUUUAGACCAGGCUGGCCUUGAACUCUCAGAGAUCCACCUGCUUCUGCCUGCCUCCCAAGUGCUGGGAUUAAAGAUGCAUGCCACCACC
Alexandromys fortis (reed vole) is the source of this 2418-nucleotide RNA transcript. It is a transcript of the gene named mitogen-activated protein kinase 13, with no coding region annotated. The record is from RefSeq and is a predicted model, not a curated record. The transcript is spliced from 14 exons. NCBI's taxonomy places the organism in Eukaryota, Metazoa, Chordata, Mammalia, Rodentia, Cricetidae.